GAACGCUAGCUACAGGCUUAACACAUGCAAGUCGAGGGGAAACGAUAUUGGAAGCUUGCUUCUGAUAGGCGUCGACCGGCGCACGGGUGAGUAACGCGUAUCCAACCUGCCCAUCACUUGGGGAUAACCUUGUGAAAGUAAGACUAAUACCCAAUGACGUCUCUAGAAGACAUCUGAAAGAGAUUAAAGAUUUAUCGGUGAUGGAUGGGGAUGCGUCUGAUUAGCUUGUUGGCGGGGUAACGGCCCACCAAGGCGACGAUCAGUAGGGGUUCUGAGAGGAAGGUCCCCCACAUUGGAACUGAGACACGGUCCAAACUCCUACGGGAGGCAGCAGUGAGGAAUAUUGGUCAAUGGACGAGAGUCUGAACCAGCCAAGUAGCGUGCAGGAAGACGGCCCUAUGGGUUGUAAACUGCUUUUAUAAGGGAAUAAAGUGAGUCUCGUGAGACUUCUUGCAUGUACCUUAUGAAUAAGGACCGGCUAAUUCCGUG
Molecule: ribosomal RNA, 489 nt
Filed under: uncultured bacterium
Lineage: Bacteria
Description: bacterial SSU rRNA
Rfam family: Bacterial small subunit ribosomal RNA
Source: RNAcentral